Cephus cinctus (wheat stem sawfly) is the source of this 429-nucleotide long non-coding RNA. RefSeq lists it as uncharacterized. The record is from RefSeq and is a predicted model, not a curated record. NCBI's taxonomy places the organism in Eukaryota, Metazoa, Arthropoda, Insecta, Hymenoptera, Cephidae. The transcript has 3 exons.
AGCGAUCACCAACUUUGUUUUUAAAUUGUCGCUGGAAUCAAGCAUCAAACUUCAAAGUCAAAUCGCUAAUAAUUUCAGAAUAAGAAUAUAAUAAUGGUAACAGUUAAAAGACACCUGAUUCCACGAAAACAACAAAAAUUCAAUAUCCUUACGGGAAGUUUCGUAACGCUAUUAGAUCUUGAUUGAAGGACCGACGAUAAAAAAAAACCCAUGAAUAUAAAGGAAUAGCAUAGAGAGCUCGUAAACGUAACUGUAGCUUGCAGGCCAAAAAUCAUUGAGACUACAGAGACUCCACGUCGCGGUACGUAACUCCUUGCAAAUCCUAAAAGCAAGGGCUGAAUCAUUAUGGAUAAUGAAAGACGGGAGAAACUAGUAAAAAUACGAAGAACCAUGAACUUUUGAUUAUAAGAUAUAAUAACAGUGUUUAUA